RNAcentral lists this ribosomal RNA (487 nucleotides) under uncultured Pseudomonadota bacterium. RNAcentral describes it as "bacterial SSU rRNA". It matches the Rfam family "Bacterial small subunit ribosomal RNA", at positions 355 to 859 of the family's 1533-position model. The record is from RNAcentral. Lineage: Bacteria; Pseudomonadati; Pseudomonadota.
UGGGGAAUAUUGGACAAUGGGCGAAAGCCUGAUCCAGCAAUGCCGCGUGAGUGAUGAAGGCCUUAGGGUUGUAAAGCUCUUUUACCAGGGAUGAUAAUGACAGUACCUGGAGAAUAAGCUCCGGCUAACUCCGUGCCAGCAGCCGCGGUAAUACGGAGGGAGCUAGCGUUGUUCGGAAUUACUGGGCGUAAAGCGUACGUAGGCGGUUAUUCAAGUCAGAGGUGAAAGCCUGGAGCUCAACUCCAGAACUGCCUUUGAAACUAGAUAGCUAGAAUCUUGGAGAGGUUAGUGGAAUUCCGAGUGUAGAGGUGAAAUUCGUAGAUAUUCGGAAGAACACCAGUGGCGAAGGCGACUAACUGGACAAGUAUUGACGCUGAGGUACGAAAGCGUGGGGAGCAAACAGGAUUAGAUACCCUGGUAGUCCACGCCGUAAACGAUGAUAACUAGCUGUUCGGGCUCUACGAGCUUGAGUGGCGCAGCUAACGCA